This is a long non-coding RNA of Cavia porcellus (domestic guinea pig), 592 nucleotides long. RefSeq lists it as uncharacterized. Lineage: Eukaryota; Metazoa; Chordata; Mammalia; Rodentia; Caviidae. The record is from RefSeq and is a predicted model, not a curated record. The transcript is spliced from 3 exons.
ACCCAGAGACGGGAGUGUGGUUAUCUGCCGCUGCCCAGUGAAAAGACUCUGGUUUCUGGGGCUCCCAUGUGUCAUGGGUAACGAAGCAGAGCCCAGCCCAGAGGGAAGAGCAGAACCUCUGAGGAAGGGACGCACUGACAUACGUGGGGACAAGUGUUAUGAUGUUGGAGCUUGAGAGACACCACCCCAGAGUACAGUGCUGCAGCUUGAGAGAUGCCACCCCAGAGUAUGACAGUUGGCAUGCUGGUACUUCGAUGACAGGAGUCGGGAAGGGCUCAGAAGCAGUUUACAAACAAGGUCAUAGAAACAAGAGCCCCUCUCCUGCUGAGUAAGCCAUGAAGCCCAGGAAGUCUGCGUCUCCCUGUUUUAAACCCCCCAUUCCAAGUGAUAGAAAUAUGGCCAAGAGAGGCCAAGGAGAAUUUGAACAGGCAGACACACUGGGCUCCUCCUCAGUACAUGGCCAUCAGACCACGCCAUUUGUUUAACCCAUUUCCACAUGGCUGUUUGUUCUUCGAAUGUUAGCAUAAAAUAGACAGUUUUAGCUGAACCCUUGGGUCUUCAUUUCUGAUGGCUCCUAUGUCAGUAAAACUUU